UAAAGAUAAAGGACAGUAAGACUUGCGAGGUAAAUUUACCUCUGGCGUCUUGACAGCCGGUUCACCACUACUACCCACGAUCUGUUCCGCACGCAGCCACAUCGGUUCCCUCCUGUGGAGGCCAACAGAUCAGGUCCCUCUAUCCUUGCAGCCAUGAACUGGCUCUGGCGGCUUUGCUGAAGGAGCAUCGGUCAUCUCGCCGGCGGGAUUCGGGCGGGACCCAAUUCAGCGUAAGCGGCGGCGCCAAGUGCGCAAGUCUGACCUCGACAUCCAUGAAUCAGUUUCGCCAGGGAAGCGAGCUCAGGGGCCCUGAUUGAAUGGAUCCCAAGAUCUCACCGGCCGCGGUUGAGUCAUCAUGGUCUAGGGAGAUACCAAUACCCAAUUCCAAAGAAAGUAUUUUUGUUGUAGGGAUCCAGGUGGGGCCUCACCAUACAAGUAUCUACUUACUGUGAUCAAUGAUGAUGAACUCCAUCAAAACAUACUAUUUUUCCUCUACAGAAUUCCCCUUUUGUCAAUCGACUUUAGUUGUAUAGCCUGAUUGACCUGUCAAACUCAUUGUAUUUUCCUUGCCGUUUUCUUGGGAAGGCAUGGGAGAAAGAUUUUGUUCUAGGAUAUAGCUUUGUACCGCAAUGCAUGAUGAGCAAAUCUAACUGCAAAUACACUUGUAUUGUUCAGAAAAGCUCUCUGGUUCUGUUACUCAGAGUCGUACAUGCAGAUAGUAGCUCCUCCAAACAUUAUUGUAAUGUUACUACUUAAUGUGGAUUCUGGAGGUGCGGCUAAAAUUUCCUACUAGAGGCCCAUGCGUGGCUACCUGGUUGCUCCAAUCUGCUGGCUCAACAUUUGCUUGUUGAGGGUGCUGGCUUUUAAUUUUUUUUGGGUUUGUCUUGUAAAACACUGGUCGUUUCUUUGAUGGAAUUCACCGAGGCGUGCUCAUUGUUUAUUUAAGGUGUGGAUUUAAAGUAGAUAUACCUCAUGUUGGAGUUGAAGUAAAUCCUUCACGUACUAAUUGUAGAGUUUCCUAUUAGU
Triticum aestivum (bread wheat) is the source of this 1026-nucleotide long non-coding RNA. RefSeq lists it as uncharacterized. The transcript has 4 exons. NCBI's taxonomy places the organism in Eukaryota, Viridiplantae, Streptophyta, Magnoliopsida, Poales, Poaceae. The record is from RefSeq and is a predicted model, not a curated record.